This 540-nucleotide ribosomal RNA is filed under the name Bacillus halotolerans. Its description in RNAcentral is "bacterial SSU rRNA". It matches the Rfam family "Bacterial small subunit ribosomal RNA", at positions 947 to 1487 of the family's 1533-position model. Lineage: Bacteria; Bacillati; Bacillota; Bacilli; Caryophanales; Bacillaceae. The record is from RNAcentral.
UUAUUCGAAGCAACGCGAAGAACCUUACCAGGUCUUGACAUCCUCUGACAAUCCUAGAGAUAGGACGUCCCCUUCGGGGGCAGAGUGACAGGUGGUGCAUGGUUGUCGUCAGCUCGUGUCGUGAGAUGUUGGGUUAAGUCCCGCAACGAGCGCAACCCUUGAUCUUAGUUGCCAGCAUUCAGUUGGGCACUCUAAGGUGACUGCCGGUGACAAACCGGAGGAAGGUGGGGAUGACGUCAAAUCAUCAUGCCCCUUAUGACCUGGGCUACACACGUGCUACAAUGGACAGAACAAAGGGCAGCGAAACCGCGAGGUUAAGCCAAUCCCACAAAUCUGUUCUCAGUUCGGAUCGCAGUCUGCAACUCGACUGCGUGAAGCUGGAAUCGCUAGUAAUCGCGGAUCAGCAUGCCGCGGUGAAUACGUUCCCGGGCCUUGUACACACCGCCCGUCACACCACGAGAGUUUGUAACACCCGAAGUCGGUGAGGUAACCUUUAUGGAGCCAGCCGCCGAAGGUGGGACAGAUGAUUGGGGUGAAGUC